RNAcentral lists this ribosomal RNA (254 nucleotides) under uncultured bacterium. Its description in RNAcentral is "partial 16S ribosomal RNA". It matches the Rfam family "Bacterial small subunit ribosomal RNA", at positions 524 to 776 of the family's 1533-position model. The record is from RNAcentral.
UACGUAGGGUGCAAGCGUUGUCCGGAAUUAUUGGGCGUAAAGAGCUCGUAGGCGGCUCGGUAAGUCGGAUGUGAAACCUCCAGGCUCAACCUGGAGACGCCAUCUGAUACUGCCGUGGCUUGAGUCCGGUAGAGGAGCAGGGAAUUCCUGGUGUAGCGGUGAAAUGCGCAGAUAUCAGGAGGAACACCGGUGGCGAAGGCGGAUCUCUGGGCCGUGCCUGACGCUGAGGCGCGAAAGCGAGGGGAGCGAACAGG